This 124-nucleotide ribosomal RNA is filed under the name Aotus nancymaae (Ma's night monkey). Lineage: Eukaryota; Metazoa; Chordata; Mammalia; Primates; Aotidae. The record is from RNAcentral.
GUCUACGGCCAUACCACCCUGAACGCGCCCGAUCUCGUCUGAUCUCGGAAGCUAAGCAGGGUCGGGCCUGGUUAGUACUUGGAUGGGAGAAACCUGGUGAAAAACGGCAAGGUUUCUGCGGAGG